UUGAAAUAGCAGUCUAAAUAAAAAAUGCAAAGCAAUCAUUAGACCGUUCUGGCUGGUGUUCUGCCUCAUUAUCAUUUGAAAAAGCAAGUGCAACUGAAAUGCCCAACUCUAUUCAAUAUAACAAAUUUAUAAUGUGUGGAAGGACUUUGAGUAGGCAGUAAUUUCUCAAUUUUUUCGCAGGUUCAGCAGACUGUACGACUUGAAAUUUGUAUUUUCACCAAGACAACUGUUAUUGUUGAGAUGAUUUAAAGAAUCUUGUAAAUUUCAGAUGCUGCUCGCAAAGCGCCAAAUGCAACUGCUGCUGACGUUGAGGCCUCCAUCAAAUCGUGGCUCCGGCAUGCUCCCGAGCGCGUUGCCACCAAGUUUCAGAAGUCAAAGCCAAGACUACUUGAGCAGGCAGCAGAUACUGACUGAAACUGUCACCACGGCAGAGGGGCCAAGGCUUCCAGCUUCUGAUUCUCUGGUCAUUCUGUGGAUAUUGAUUCAAAGUGUUGUUUACACUGGCUUUACUCAACAACAAACAUUGAUGGCAGCAGAUAGCCAAUGGCAAAGACAAGGACCAUGCACUGUUGGCAACCAGCUCAACCACAACUUCAUGGUGGUAUUUCUCAACCGAUGUGCCACCUCCACGCUUCAGUAUAAUACCUUUCCUUUAAAAAAUGUGAAGGGUGCUGUCACAAUUCGUGUUUUGCAGGUAGCAUCCACUUUAGGCAUUUGAGGUUAUGGGCGACAUAGUGUUUUUUUAUUUGAUGAAUAAUUUUUUUUAAAGAUACAGCUGAACUAAAGUACAUUGCAAGUUUGACUUUUGACUUGUGUCCACUGUAUAAUGUAUGUAUGUUAUCCACUGUUAUUGUGAUCCUCAAAAUCAUGUGCAGUUUCUGUUGCAUUGUUACCAAGUGCUUUGGAGACUGUUGCCGUCAUACGAGAUAGGUGAAAAUGUCUAGUCAGCUGUAAAAGCUGUACAAGUCUAGUUUCUACGUAUUGCCCACUCCUCUGGAACACACGGUAACUCUCCUUCCAUUGCUACUUUCUAUACCUGCCUUCAGGCAGCAACACAAGCUUAUGCUGGUGCCACUUUGGAAGCAGCUUGCAUUCCUGGAAACGAAGGCAACUUUACAUUGUUUACUUAAAAGCCAGUUAACUAACUGCCAUGUAUUAAAUUGAAUGAUCCAGACCAUAAAAUGCUCUUUUUGCCUAGUUUGAGCAAGGAUAGGGAACCAAUAAGUGCAAAUUUUUAAAUAGGAAUUUAAGCUAAAUAUCGCUCUUGCAUGUAUGUUUACCAUUUGUAACAGUUUCUAGCACUUUGAGGCAGUAUCUGUGUUAUAAGUUUUGCUACCAAACUCUUGAAUGCAGAGUUCUGUAUUUCUAAGCAAGUAAUUUCAUACUCGAAAAGGUCACUUUUUUUUUCUUUUUUUUUGAAGCUACUGACAGAACUUUGUUCUGCAGUUGUGCACAUAGUGAAGUACGUGGUUAUAUGUUUGCACUGUUAACUGGAUUCAAUGUUCAGAUAUUGUGAAAACAGUUCUAAAAGUUAAAUUCUUCUGCUGCAGCUGUAUUGUAAUAUGCUAAUAUAGCCCUCAACUGCUUUGCAGAGCUUAGGAUACUACAGUCACUCCCCAAGUGUAAUUAGUGGCUGUAUUGUGAUGACUAAAGCACUUUACUCAUAGUAAGCUCAACAGCUCUUACAUGACUUGUUCUCUGUUGCAAAUGAUGCGAUACAUUUUUAUUCUUAGCAAUAGUAAUGUUAAAUUUCUUUAUUCAACUUCUCUUGCUAUAUAAUGCAGUAUUUCCCAUCGUGAGUGGCAGUGGCUGCAUUUUUUUUUGAGGUAGUGUGUAGUUCUUUUUAUUGGUUAUGCUGAAACAAGGUGGCCUGUGUGCAAUUAUGUGUAUGUUUAAUCCAAUCUAGUCAGAAUCUGUAAGCUAAUGGUGUGCUUGGCCCACAUGUCCCAGCUAUGCUUGGUUUUUCUUAAUUUAUUGUCAUAAAACUGAACUUUUAAAUGUUUUAUGCCCUCACUUUUUAGUAGGGUUGACAGAGUAGAGCCUCUGGUCUUUGUUUUGGAAUUUAAUGUCUUUAAAUGUUUUUAGAUGUAUGUCUCAUGCGCUCAUAUUUUAGUUACCUUAGUGGUUUAUUUUGAUAUGUAGAAGCCAUGUCCAUUUGUACGGAUAUUGUGCUUGGUGAGAAUAAGGGCUGUGACAGAUUGAUGGCAUUAUGUUUCUUUGAAGGAAAGUGCCCUUAUGUAUUGUUUCUGGUGGCAAGAGACAAGUCUCUCAUCAUAUCGUGCUUUGGAGUAUAUAUAUUUAGUGAAAUCUAGUCAGAAUCUGCAAGCUAAUGAUGGGCUUGGUCCAUAUGUCCCAGCUAUGCUUGUUUUUUUUGGUGGUUUUUAAUUUGACAUCAUAAAACUGAACUUUUAUUUGUUUUAUGCACUCACUUUGUAACUGGGUUGAUGCAACAGAGCUCGUUGUGUUUAUGUUGGAAUUUAAUGCCCUUAAAUGUUUUUAGAUGUGUCUUAUGCACUCAUCUUUUAAUAAAGUUGCUUUAGAGGUUUAUUUGCAUAUGUAGAAGCUAUUGAACGAUAACCAUGUCCAUUUGUACGGAUAUUGUGCUUGACGAGAAUAACGGCUGCGACAGAUUUAUGGCAUGUUUCUGUGAAUAAAAGGGCCCAUAUUUAUUGUUUCUAGUGGCAAGAGACAAGUCGUGCUUUGCAGUUCUAUACUUUUAGUGCUUGGUGUUGUCUUUGUGUUAGGUUUACUAAAGUAUAGUUUCAUAGAAAAUGUGUAAAAAUUUGAGUUGAUCUGCUGAUCACCCCCUACAUUCCUAGAUUUCUUCUGAUGCACUAGAGCUGAUGACGCUAUAUCCACUUGCAGGCUAUUUGUCUUAAGCAUUGGAGGUAGGCUUUGCAGUGCUUGUUCGCUGGAUGCAGAAGCUCUUCUACUGUGAUAACACAAGACCAGAGCCCACUGUUUUUUUGCUUGUUUUUGCUUUACUGUGAAUAAAAAUGAAAGCUGUAA
This is a long non-coding RNA of Dermacentor albipictus, 3009 nucleotides long. RefSeq lists it as uncharacterized. NCBI's taxonomy places the organism in Eukaryota, Metazoa, Arthropoda, Arachnida, Ixodida, Ixodidae. The record is from RefSeq and is a predicted model, not a curated record.